RNAcentral lists this ribosomal RNA (497 nucleotides) under uncultured bacterium. RNAcentral's name for it is "partial 16S ribosomal RNA". It matches the Rfam family "Bacterial small subunit ribosomal RNA", at positions 28 to 507 of the family's 1533-position model. The record is from RNAcentral.
GACGAACGCUGGCGGCGUGCCUAAUACAUGCCAGUUGAGCGAUGAAGAUUGGUGCUUGCACCAAUUUGAAGAGCAGCGAACGGGUGAGUAACGCGUGGGGAAUCUGCCUUUGAGCGGGGGACAACAUUUGGAAACGAAUGCUAAUACCGCAUAACAACUUUAAACAUAAGUUUUAAGUUUGAAAGAUGCAAUUGCAUCACUCAAAGAUGAUCCCGCGUUGUAUUAGCUAGUUGGUGAGGUAAAGGCUCACCAAGGCGAUGAUACAUAGCCGACCUGAGAGGGUGAUCGGCCACAAUGGGACUGAGACACGGCCCAAACUCCUACGGGAGGCAGCAGUAGGGAAACUUCGGCAAUGGACGAAAGUCUGACCGGGCAACGCCGCGGGAGUGAAGAAGGUUUUCGGAUCGUAAAACUCUGUUGGUAGAGAAGAACGUUGGUGAGAGUGGAAAGCUCAUCAAGUGACGGUAACUACACAGAAAGGGACGGCUAACUACGUG